Molecule: ribosomal RNA, 483 nt
Filed under: uncultured bacterium
Lineage: Bacteria
Description: partial 16S ribosomal RNA
Rfam family: Bacterial small subunit ribosomal RNA
Source: RNAcentral
GAUGAACGCUGGCGGCGUGCCUAACACAUGCAAGUCGAACGGAGUCGUUUUGGAAAUCUCUUCGGAGAUGGAAUUCUCGACUUAGUGGCGGACGGGUGAGUAACGCGUGAGCAAUCUGCCUUUAAGAGGGGGAUAACAGUCGGAAACGGCUGCUAAUACCGCAUAAAGCAUUAAAUUCGCAUGUUUUUGAUGCCAAAGGAGCAAUCCGCUUUUAGAUGAGCUCGCGUCUGAUUAGCUAGUUGGCGGGGUAACGGCCCACCAAGGCGACGAUCAGUAGCCGGACUGAGAGGUUGAACGGCCACAUUGGGACUGAGACACGGCCCAGACUCCUACGGGAGGCAGCAGUGGGGAAUAUUGCGCAAUGGGGGAAACUCUGACGCAGCAACGCCGCGUGAUUGAAGAAGGCCUUCGGGUUGUAAAGAUCUUUAAUCAGGGACGAAACAAAUGACGGUACCUGAAGAAUAAGCUCCGGCUAACUACGUG